ACAUAAAUAGGACAGAGAGGGAGAGAAAGGAGCAGGGAAGGGAAAACCAGCAGCAAGGGUUAACAGAAGUCUGCAGGGAAGGACUGAGAGAGACAUCACAGACACGCCCACUCCUCCCUCAUUGGCUGUUGCUCUAUAGCUUAUACAGAAACAGCCGUCGGCUGCAGUUCAGAUACUGAAGAGUCUGAGACAGGAAGUUUCAAAGGGGGAGGGCUGAGAACAGUUUUCAAGCUAAUACAGGCGGUUUUUGAUGCAAAAGAUAAACAAACAAAAUAUUAAAAAGAAAGAAAACAGACAUAAGAAGACAUGAAAUAAGGAUUCUGCCCGUCACCAUAAAGGGGUCACAUUUGGAACAUGACAAACUACACAACUAUACAUUAGUUAAACAAUGACCAAUAAAAUUGUGAAGUAUGA
Xenopus laevis (African clawed frog) is the source of this 414-nucleotide long non-coding RNA. RefSeq lists it as uncharacterized. NCBI's taxonomy places the organism in Eukaryota, Metazoa, Chordata, Amphibia, Anura, Pipidae. The record is from RefSeq and is a predicted model, not a curated record. The transcript has 2 exons.